UUUUAAUAGUUUAACAAAAACAUUGGUCUUGUAAAUCAAAAAUAAAAACUAUUUUUUUUUAAAACU
This 66-nucleotide transfer RNA is filed under the name Drosophila hirtitibia. RNAcentral's name for it is "tRNA-Thr". The record is from RNAcentral. Lineage: Eukaryota; Metazoa; Arthropoda; Insecta; Diptera; Drosophilidae.